RNAcentral lists this ribosomal RNA (253 nucleotides) under uncultured bacterium. RNAcentral describes it as "partial 16S ribosomal RNA". It matches the Rfam family "Bacterial small subunit ribosomal RNA", at positions 524 to 776 of the family's 1533-position model. The record is from RNAcentral.
UACGUAGGGCGCGAGCGUUAAUCGGAAUUACUGGGCGUAAAGCGUGCGCAGGCGGUUUUGUAAGCCAGAUGUGAAAUCCCGGGGCUCAACCUGGGAAUGGCAUUUGGGACUGCAAGGCUUGAGUGCGGCAGAGGAGACUGGAAUUCCUGGUGUAGCAGUGAAAUGCGUAGAUAUCAGGAGGAAUACCGAUGGCGAAGGCAGGUCUCUGGGCUGACACUGACGCUCAUGCACGAAAGCGUGGGGAGCAAACAGG